This is a long non-coding RNA of Mustela lutreola (European mink), 484 nucleotides long. RefSeq lists it as uncharacterized. The record is from RefSeq and is a predicted model, not a curated record. Lineage: Eukaryota; Metazoa; Chordata; Mammalia; Carnivora; Mustelidae. The transcript is spliced from 3 exons.
UUCUGGCCACUAUGAACAACACUUCUGUGAACAAGCGGGGGCCCAUUUUGUGCGGACAUAGGUUUUCACAUCUCUGGGAUGAACUGUUGUCUUAGAAUCAGGAGAGAGACACAGCAAGAGAAGGAACACAAGCAAGGGGAAUGAGAGAGGGGGAAGCAGACUCCCAGCUGAGCAGGGAGUCCAAUGCAGGAUUCGAUCCCAAGACCCUGGAAUCAUGACCUGGGCUGAAGAUUAAUGAUCAGCAAAAUAACAUUCAAGGAUCAUUAGCACACAGAAAUGCCAGAGGAACAAUAACAACAGAAAAACCUACACAAGAGCGAAGCAGGAAGAAGAAAUGAAUAAAUUAUUAACUCUACACCAAGUUUGAGGGGUUGGGAGGGAUGUGCCUCAUCUGCUUAGCUUAGGGCAGAAGAUGAUGACGGAGAGGUAGAGAUGGUAAAAGAACUAUUCAGGGCAAAGAAUAAGAAGCCAAUAAUAAUUAAAG